AUCCUUUUGUAGUUCAUAAGCAUGAUGAUUGGGUUUUCAUGUGCAUGCAUGAGAUGUGCCUCCCUCAAUUCUUGUUACAACAUCAGCACAUUACCCGUCUGACA
Molecule: small nucleolar RNA, 104 nt
Filed under: Propithecus coquereli (Coquerel's sifaka)
Lineage: Eukaryota; Metazoa; Chordata; Mammalia; Primates; Indriidae
Description: Small nucleolar RNA U13 (ENSPCOG00000002968.1)
Rfam family: Small nucleolar RNA U13
Source: Rfam by way of RNAcentral